UACAGAGGGUGCGAGCGUUGUCCGGAAUCACUGGGCGUAAAGGGCGCGUAGGUGGCCUGAUAAGUAGGGGGUGAAAUCUCGUGGCUCAACUGCGAGGCUGCCUCCUAAACUGUCGGGCUUGAGCAGAGUAGAGGCAGGUGGAAUUCCCGGUGUAGCGGUGGAAUGCGUAGAGAUCGGGAAGAACAUCGGUGGCGAAGGCGGCCUGCUGGGCUCUUGCUGACACUGAGGCGCGACAGCGUGGGGAGCAAAC
This 250-nucleotide ribosomal RNA is filed under the name uncultured bacterium. RNAcentral describes it as "partial 16S ribosomal RNA". It matches the Rfam family "Bacterial small subunit ribosomal RNA", at positions 524 to 773 of the family's 1533-position model. The record is from RNAcentral.